This 460-nucleotide ribosomal RNA is filed under the name uncultured Sphingobacteriales bacterium. RNAcentral describes it as "bacterial SSU rRNA". It matches the Rfam family "Bacterial small subunit ribosomal RNA", at positions 920 to 1382 of the family's 1533-position model. The record is from RNAcentral. Lineage: Bacteria; Pseudomonadati; Bacteroidota; Sphingobacteriia; Sphingobacteriales.
CCCGCACAAGCGGAGGAACAUGUGGUUUAAUUCGAUGAUACGCGAGGAACCUUACCUGGGCUUAAAUGGGGAGUGACAGCUGUCGAAAGAUGGUUUUCUUCGGACACUCUUCAAGGUGCUGCAUGGUUGUCGUCAGCUCGUGCCGUGAGGUGUCGGGUUAAGUCCCAUAACGAGCGCAACCCUUACCGUUGGUUACCAUCAGGUUAAGCUGGGGACUCUAGCGGGACUGCCACCGUAAGGUGAGAGGAAGGUGGGGAUGACGUCAAAUCAGCACGGCCCUUAUGUCCAGGGCUACACACGUGUUACAAUGGCCGGUACAAAGGGCAGCUACUUCGCGAGAAGAUGCUAAUCUCGAAAGCCGGUCUCAGUUCGGAUCGAAGUCUGCAACCCGACUUCGUGAAGCUGGAUUCGCUAGUAAUCGCGCAUCAGCCAUGGCGCGGUGAAUACGUUCCCGGGCCUU